GGAGGGUUAAACAGACGGACUAUCGAAGGGAGUCUUGGGGUACUGAACGGAACCUUCCCGACACCUGACCUGGGUAGGAUAAAGCUGCCGGUAAAAGGGGUGUCCUCGCCGACCGCCAUUCAUUUAUGACGUGCCGGCGGGCUAGUGAAUAGACCUCUGUGGGUGCAAGAGGGACCGGAUCAUUCACCUCCACACGCCUGAGGCCCUCCUUUGCAAGCCCGUCAACCACUUCAUUCCCCUUCAGGCCGACAUGAGCUGGGACCCAUACCAUGGCUUUGGAAGAGGCACAACAUGGGCUGUUUUCCACUCGCAAGGAUCCACCCCAGCCCGCCAGAACAUAUUAUACAGAUGCAGCCAGAUUUGAAGGGUUGCAUCCGGCAUGUGCCCAAACAUCAGAUAGGAUAUUCUAUCAGCCCCAGUGGCGGACUUUCUCCUGCUAGCAAUGGCUGACCUUAGCUCACUAAGUGAGAAAGCCUUGGAGCAUUCGUCCGUCCACCAUGGGACCGUUUGACGUUUGGGCCGCUUACCGGAAGAGGAGGGAAUACAACUCUCAGCUAUGGAUAGGAUUUUAUCAGUCAACUGCCGAUUAAAAUGUUCCAGCUCUUCCAGAUCAAAGUCAGAGAGAGAGAGUCCCAGACACAAUCUUUUGAAUUCACACCAAUCAGCCUUUUCAAAGUUGAAGGAUGGUUGGCAAAUCUCAUGUGAAUUUGACCCUCCGAUAUUAACAUUGUGGAGGACUAUAAGGCAAGGAAAGUGAUCCGACCCAAGAUUGUCGUCUAGGACCCCCCAUGACACGACACCUGCCAAACAGACACUGACUAUGGUGAGGUCAAUGCACAUGGAAUUACCUUGUGCAUCAAACCUGGUGGGUGCACCAUCAUUCAGGACUACCAAGUUUGAGUCUUCCAUCCAAGUACAGACGUCCUCACCAUAUUUACAGACUUUGGAGCAGCCCCACACUGGGUGAUGUGCAUUGAAGUCCCCAGUGUAUACCAGUUUCAUUAUAUUUGUUUUACUCCGUAUAUUACUCUCGAGUGUAGUAAGAGCCUGAAUGUUACAGCCCCGAGAGUAGACAUUUAUUUUUUAACGGAACAGAGAUUGGAAGAGUCUGGUAUUGGAUAGUGUGCUUUAUAUAAAUUGCUAACCCACCGGCUACAUUAUCAUUUAAGUUUGUAUGAUUUAUAAACUCUGUAUAAUAGCCGGGGAUUGAUUUUGAUGUAUUCCCCUUAAAGUUAGUUUCUUGAAUGCACAAUAUAUCAAUACUAUUUAUAUCUGUUAGAUGUUUUAACUCUGAAUGUUUACUAGAUGAAAGACCCCCACAGUUGAAUGAUAAUAUUUUUAUCCAUUAAGAAUGUUGUUAAACCUGCAGAGGAGAUUAGACCUUUGGGUUUUGCCCAUUGGAGACUGGGAGUAAAGUCUACGACUCAUCCUCCCAGCCCUCAGUUUACCAGGUGUCGAGGGACCCUGCAGUGGUGCGCUGGCAAGUUUCGUGAUGGCCUUGAGGGACGUGCCACCUCAACCCUGCGGUCUUGAACUAAAUUUCCAGAAUUGCCUGCUUUUCUUUUAUUUUUUUUUGUCUGGUUAUACAAUGGGCAGCCAUUAUGGUUGCGAUGACUCUGGCCUUUAAGAAAGAGACACACUGCCUGUAGGCAGCUGAGUGGGCAUCACCACAGUUUUUACAUCUGCGGUUUGGGUUUUUGCAAUCCCUAGUAGAAUGUAAACCAGCGCACCUAGCACAUGCUAAUAAAAGUGUACACUUAGGGGCCUUGUGACCAAACCCCUGACAUUUUAAACACCUAUCAGGGUCCUCUUGUCUAGGAUGAACGUAUAAGAUAAGGCUCGUGCCAACCACCCUGACGUACCUCGGGAGGCUCGCCUGGGUGAUAAAACCUAUCCCCACCAGCCGGGGUAAUCCCGGUGGUGGUGGGGCCUCCAGACGCUCCAACCCCAAUAUAUGGCACUGGACGCCUGGCGGCAACUCCAGACGAUCCCCAAGGACCGCCAGGUCCUCAUUCUCGGGAACCCCAGCCAACACUCCACGAACUUUGUGUAGGGAAUGGGGUAGGGAAGCACGACAGUCAACCCCCAUGAGUUUAAAAAUGCCCAUAUUUAUUAACUUGACAAUUGCCUGGGCAUAAACCAGUUCCAGGAGAAUGGCCCGAGAGCCUAGUGGGACUGAUCGUUUGACCAGGCGGGGGAGGAGCUGACCCAGUUCUGAUGCCAGUUUGAUUAUGGACCCCUGGCUGGUCAGCUUCAACCCCCCCUCCCCCCCGCCGCCCACAAUAGCUCGAGGGAUACACUUGUGCAUCAUAGUGUUAUGAGUUAAAUGAUGACUAUCCCUGGUGCACAGUGCCUCCCCAAGCAUAGGAGACAGGUCAUUUGACUGUCUCCUGGUAUUGUUUUUUGAAGAAAGGUAUCACCAGCCAUUGUUAACAAUUAAGUUUGUAAUAAAAUCAACAAGCAAAUAAUAAAAUUUAAUGGGGAACCUAGCCCCUAUAUGUAGAAAUGCUAAGACUUUUGUAUAAGAUGUUGUGUAAAUAAUAUUGGUGUA
This is a long non-coding RNA of Mya arenaria, 2551 nucleotides long. RefSeq lists it as uncharacterized. The transcript has 5 exons. The record is from RefSeq and is a predicted model, not a curated record. NCBI's taxonomy places the organism in Eukaryota, Metazoa, Mollusca, Bivalvia, Myida, Myidae.